Long non-coding RNA from Myotis myotis, 9518 nucleotides. RefSeq lists it as uncharacterized. The transcript has 3 exons. Lineage: Eukaryota; Metazoa; Chordata; Mammalia; Chiroptera; Vespertilionidae. The record is from RefSeq and is a predicted model, not a curated record.
AUUAGGUUAAAAAGAAAAUAAAAAAAGAAAAAGAAAUGAGAAAAAAGCUGACCUAUCCUUGAAAGAAAGGUGAAAUCAUUGAUUUUUCCUGCACUGUUCCACAGGAAAGUGCAUCACCGAGUGAUAGAUAUAUGCACCCUGGGGCUAGCAGCUGGAGGGCAAAAAGCACUUUUUACCCGUGAUUGACAAAUAAUACAUAAUGAGAAGAGAGGAGCAAUUCAAGUUUUAAAUUUCACUCUCUCUCAUUGGCUUUUCAGGGCAGCUGGGCACUGCUGUUCUCACUUGGUAACUUUUGAGGCGCUGCCAGGAAAGGGGACCUGAGUGACAAUUUUUCCAUUCCUCCUACAAACCCCCCAAAGCUUUAGUAAAUCUGUGUGGCCUGCUCUUUCAAAGAGGAUCCAGCUGCUAACAAUUCUACCAUUUUUCCUUAGAAGGAAAAUCCUGGGGGUCUGGAAAUGUAUUGCAUGGGUAUAAUGACCACAGUAGAGUAAGGCUGAGAUUUCAAAUCCCUGAAAGUGGCAUCUGUAGGCGGCAUUUGAUGCUAGCUGAUGAGUAAGCACUGGAGAGAGAGGAAUAGAAAAAAGAGCAAGAAGAAAGGUCGAGUCAGAACUCUGUCAUAAGUGAGAUUUAUGAAGUAGAGUUGUAGAUAGUCCAGAGUGUUACAUUUUUACAAAAUUAAGACAUGUUUGUUGUGAAUAGUUUAGGAAAUAUGUGAGAAAAAUCACCAAUGAAGUGAAAAACUAAAGAAAACUGAUGUUAACAUUUUUGGUCUCUUUUACAUUUUUCUCUUCAUUUCUGUACCAUAGUUCCCCUCUCACUCCUCCUCUACAGUUUGCUUUCUGCAGUUUCAAUUAUCACAGUCAACCGAGACCAGGAAAGAUUAAAUGGAAAAUUCCAGAAACCAAACAAUUCAUAAGUUUUAGAUCGCAAGCCAUUCUGGGUAGGGUGAUGAAAUCUCAAGCCUUCCUGCUCUGUCCCGUCCAGGACUAGGACGGAACCAGCUCUUUGUCCAGUGUAUCCACACUGUACGUACUUUCCCCGCCGUUAGUCACUGAAUAACCAUUUCGAUUAUUAGAUCAACUAUCGUGGUGUUAUGACAACCUCUUACCUGGUCUCUGCUUCUGCCUUGGUCUCCUUCACCUCCAAAAUAAUGGCUGGGCGGAGCCUUAAUAAAUAGAAGUGAGACCAUUCACUCUUCUGCAGUGAGGUUUCUAAUGACUUCCAUCUAAUUUAGAGUAAAAUCCAGAGUUUAGUUACCCGGGGUCUCUAAAUGGGAAUGAUUGCAUUUUGGGCAAAGCCUUUCUCCAUUGCACAAAAUGUCCUGCAGGUUGCAUGAUUUUUGACAUCAAUAAGUUUGAAAGGCAGGCAUCUAAAUGAAUCUAUUUUUAAAGGUCUGCAUCUCGUACUGAGUGCUAAUGUGCAUUUUAUUGCUCAUUUGCAAGGCCCAGUACAAAGAAGUACAACAUCCCCCGCCUACUGGGCUGCAACAAUCCAGUUCAUUUCAGACAUUUUGGCUCCUCUAAGUGACAGUAGCGUUCCAGAGUCACAACCAAAAAAAAUCCCCAGAUUUCCAAAUGCACUCUGAGGGGUACCUCCCUGCUCUCCACAUCCGAGAACCAUUUUGGCUUCCCUGUCAACACUCCUAACUCAUCUCUACCUAUUUCCCCUCGGCUUAUUCUGUCACAGCCUUGCUACUCACUGGGGAGACUAAGAGUUUGCAUUUGCUGUUAUCUCUACCUGGGACCUUCUUCCCCCAAGUCACCUUAGUUCUUGUAGGUCUUUAUACAAAUGUCAUCUUCUCAGUGAGCCAGACACUUCACAUCCCUUUUCUCUGCUUUAGCAUUUAUCACUAUUAAACAUACUAUCACUUUCUUAUUAAUCUUGGUCAUUGUGGUCUACUGUUCUCUCUCACUAGAAUGUAAACUAGAUGAGGGCAGAGGCUUGGUGUAUUUUGUUCAUAUCAAUGCUCAAUAUCUAGAGCAUUUCUAGCAUGUAGUAGGCAUGUUAUAAGUAAGGAUCUUUAGAGAUUUUAAAAAUAGAAUUAUUUUUAUAUGUUGUAGCUCAAGGGAAUUUACUAAGUUAAUGGUUCUUAAUCUUUUUUAUGUCAGAAAACUUUCUGAAAAUCCAAUGGAAAAUGCACAUCUGCGAUUACAAAGCAUACAAAGACAUGUAUUGUAUGUAGAUAUAGGUACAAAGAGAUAAAAUAUGGAUUAAGUAUUGAAAUAGAGAAAAUAUAGAUAUUGAGAUACAGGAGGCCCCUUGUCUACAAGGGAUAUGUGAAACCGUGGAUAGCAUGGAAAUCUAUAUAUAUAUGCUAUGUUUUUUUCCUGAUACAUGCAUACAUUCAUACUUUUCCACUCAAAAGAAGCACUUUAUGGCUUCUCUUUGGCACGGCUCUUCUCCUGUGCAUGUGAGGAAUCCAUCAAGUUUUUCACAGUAUUCUUGAAAACAAGGUGAGAAAACUAACAGUAGAGUUGGGUGGAUCAGUGACAGAUAAAUGACACUCUCAAAAAAUAUUGAGGGACCAGCUUUAAUCUGAAAACCAGGAGGGAGAAUAUGAAGCAAGAUCCUUUCUUAUUCUGUUUGUUUUCUAGUCCCCUGGAGAAAAGAUUAACUAUUAGUACAUACACAUCAAAUUUACAGGGACAGAAAUCAAGAAGGGAGAGUUCUAGAAUAAAAUCCCAAAAUACUUUGGCAGGUUGAAGUAAUGAGCCAAUAUAAACACUGAGAUUUAACAGGGAUAAAUAUGAAGCCCAACUGUGGAAGCUCACGCUGGCGAAGAUGAGCUGUAGCAGAACUUGGGGGUUCCAGUCGACUGCAAUCAUAAUGUGUCAACAGAGAUUUGUAGCUGCCAAAACAACUAAUUAGAGUUACAGUAAUGAAGUGAGUCAGCAUAGCUCUGUUAUAGUCUGUUGGACCAAACAAUACCUGUAAUGCUAUGUUUAGUUUGGGGUGCCAAGAAUUUUGAUGGGAUAUAAUGUACCAGGCAAUGACCUACCCAGGGAAUGAGGAUUCUACUAACCAGAAAUCAUAGGUGUUUCACCUGAAGAAAAUGGAAGACUUUGAAGUCAUGUGAUCAUAGUCUUUAAAUAUUAAAAAGGCUGUGACAUGUGAUUUUUGUUACUACAGAGGGAAAAUGAAGGACCAAUGCAGUAAAUUUACAGUAAAUCAUCUUUCCCCUACACACAAAGAAAGAAUACUUUUUUGCAAUACAAGCUGUGAAAGAUGAAAUGGACUUGCCCUCACAGGAGAGUUGGAGAUUUUAGAAAUCAACUUGAUAGGAAUAUCACAGAAAUAAAGCAAGUGUUGGAUUGCCCUUCUUUAGAUCCCUUGUAGCUAGGAAUUCUGUCACCGGCAUUGUAUUCUGCGCCCCCAUCCCUACUCCCGUGCUGGUGAGGCACUAGAACACUAGUGGGUAGUUUCACUGGCAAUGUCUCAAGGUGACACCCUGUGGUUUAAAUGACAGCUUUCUCUCGGUGUAUAGAAUUUCCCUGUAUUUUCAUUAAAAUGCCUGAAUGUAACACCGACUUAAAUUCUGCUUGAGGGUUUCCUACAUGAAGAGGGUGGGUAUUUUUUCAAAAAUUGUUGAGCGAGUUGUUUUCAUCAGGCCAUUGAAAUAGGUAUGAAGCACUGGUAAGAGGUCACAAGUCUUAGGGACUUUUUGAUGAAGAAACAAGGAUCUAUAUUUCUAGGAGGAAUUAUAAAUGUAAACAUUCAGCACCAACAGGUAUCACAUAAUCAGCCCAAUGUAAGGCAACUGUGAAUGGUGGGCUAUGGCACACCAGACAGGCUGUACCUUACUGAAAACAGGCAGGUAUUACCAAGGCUAGUCCAUUUCCCCAUUUUCAAGAAAAGCUAGAAAUUCAAAUGUUUACAUGAGGUCUUUUGAUUUUAAAUGCUGGCAAAAAAAAAAAAUAAAAAAAAAAAAAAAAAAAAAUCAAAUUAAAAAACAAAACCCCCCCCAAAAACAAACCCUGUGCUGUCUAAAGAAAUACAACUGUCUUUCAGAGAGUGUUACAGCGAUCGGUUUGUGAUAUCUGUUGUCAAAUGUGUUUCUGGAUUCUCUCCAAACUUCACUUCAUCUUACAAAGCAUCUCUGGUGUCCCAGAAAGUCAAUUCUUAAACUAAAUUCAACAAAUAUUUUUGAGCCUCUAAUAAGCGAAAAGUAGUUUGCUAGGGUAUUUGAAAAAUAUGAACAUGAAAAACAAUGAUCUUUGUUCUCAAAGUUUGCAGUUUUAUAGUCAGGUUAAUACAAACACCAAUACAACUAUAAUUACAACUAACAUGGAGUGUUGAGUGAUACAAAUGAAGUACUGGGAAGGGAAAUAUUAAAACCCUGGGGGAGUCAGGGCAAGGUGCGUUUGUGGGAGAUUGUCAUGAGUGACAGGUGAAGUGUGGAGACUUUCUAAGGGGGAAGGAAGAACCUGAGAAAAGGCACAGUGAUGGUAAAGUGAGAGGGAUUUGAGGAACCAGUGUUUUAAUAACUUACCUGAAGCAGAAGAGAGGCGUUGGGGAUUUACAUGAGAACACUUCCAUGGGAGGUUAGCAAUCAAUGGUAGGCCAAAGAGUUUUGACUUAACUCAAUAAGCUGCUUGAGAGAGGCAGCUGUGUAACCCUGAGCAAAUCUUUAAAAUUCAUUACAUGCCAUUUCCAUUACUUGUCAUAUGAGGCAUAACCCACUUGGAAAUGUGGUGUGAAACAUAAAUUAUAUCAGUAAAUCAAUUCUUGUGAACCUUGUAAGUUAGUUAUUGUUAGUGAUGGGCAAGCGCUGAAGGAUUUGGACGAGGGGAAGGAUGUCAUGGGAACUCUGCUUUUGGGGAAAUUAAUCUGGCACUUAUGCUUUGAAUGCAUGCAUGGUAAAAGGACAAGCAAAAAAGACCACUGGAAAGUUAACUCACUCGCAAUAUACAUAUUUUUGAAUGUGCUAUAAUACAUGUAUGUUCUUCUAAGUUGAAAAAGCACAAGAGGUUUGGUAAGGAGAAGUCCCCUCUCUUUGAAUGCCCCCCAACCAGCCAGCUGUCUGUCCCUGACACAAUCACAAUAACAGUUUUUAUGUUUUCUCCCAGAUAUCAUCUGCAUAUUUGUAAACACGCAUGUAUGCACUAUGUCAGUUUUGGAGCUCUUUCUAUUUCAGUUAGGAGGAGAGCUUCGGCUCAGACACUGUGAGCCCGAAUUCCAUUUUGAACUGACAAGGCGAGACCAGACUGCAGAACCUGUGGAAUGUGGGGGAGCAGCCUGGGAGGUCACCUGGGGCCUGUGGGAUUUCCAGCCUCAAAUACUGCACACAAGAGGACAUCCAAUCCAAUUUCGACCAAAGGCAUCUGAGGGGGAAUUUGCUGGGAAAUUCAACAAGUUUCCUGUCUUCUAAGAAUGAAAAUAAAUCGAAACUAAGAUCCAGUAAAAGGAAAUGACUUAUCACAGGAUAGUGAAAUGGCAGUAGGCUUCGGAGUCCGAAAAUAAAAUCGAAGGAUAUUUCCUGGCCCCACAAAUUGUAGGGGAGCAGGUCAUGGAACCCUCUGUAUCUUAUUUUAUCUUAAUCUCUAAAUGGGGGGUUAAUAAUUAUUAACAUCGUUGACAUUUCAGAAAUGAAUGUCAAAUGCCUGGAAAAUUUGAGAUGUUCAAUAAGUGAUAACUAUUCUUCUCCAAGGUCACAGCUGAUGAAUGGCAGACUGAAACUUGAACCCAGAACUUCUGAGUCCAAGUUCAUUGCUUACUCUUUCCUGACCUAAUGCUUAUUUCCAAAGGAGUGCCACUCCCUUGAUGAGGGCAUUCAGUAAACAUCUCUCAGGGACAGUAGUUUCCCAGGCACAUUAGAAUUCUUUUGAGGCAGGCAGGUAGGAGGGAUUUUGUUAUUUUUUCUUGCCUUGGGGAAAGGUUUCAUCAGUAAAGUAGCAAUAAAAACAUUUUCUCUAUUAGUGGAAAUGAUUAACACUCCUUUAGUUAGGCAAUAUUUUCCCACCCGGCCUCACACAAACCAAGCCACACAGAUGGGGCGAUCAGAAACCCUAAGAAAACAGCAACAAAUUGGCUUGGUGAGUGGAUGUGGUUGGAAAUCUUUCAUCUGGUUCGUCUCAACAGGUUGUGGAAGUUAUAUGGGUUUUGAAUGAAGUUGAAAAUCCAAGCAGAAUGUAUGAAUAUCAAGCCACAGGUAUCAAAGUUUGGAGAAUCUGAUGAAAAACGAACCAAUGUAAACGCAAACCUGAGGACAUUACACGCCUCCUUUCCUGAGAGCCAAUUUGGGGCAGGAAGAAACACUUAACUUGCUGCAGGAGAGGAAUAUGCAGCCUUUCUAAUUAGUUAUCACCUCGGUGUUUAUUUUUCACUGAAUCCCUGGGCUGGAGUGAUUAACAUACCUGUGGCUCAGAAAUCCAGGCAGGAAGGCGUGAACCUGGACUGAAAGCCGAUGCUGAAUGUGUCCGCACUGGCUGUCCCUCCAGAAUACAGCCCUGCCAUGAACAAAAGAGUUUUCUGAAGUGUAAGUGCUUCCACAGCCCGCCAACUCGCCCUGCCAAAUGUGCCCUUCAUGGACUGCUUGGCAAUGGUAGUUCCAGAUGGAAAGCGGAGGGAGGGUGGAUGAAUCAGUCCAGAAGUGAUGCACAUUGUCCACUGCCUUGGUCUCAGUCAAAAGACAUUGCCACUCCACCAAGUCCUGCUCCAGCUUGUUUGUAGAAGUAAGACUUUUUUCCAUUCACACAAACAUCUGAGACACAGUGUUGAGCUAUCUUGUUUCAGUCAGACCCAUGGGUGAAGCUGCUGGUGGGUGAGAUUGUGCAGAACAAAGAAGCAUCUCUUGUAAAUUCCAGAAUGGCAUAUCAAAAAACUUUUUUUCCUUACCUGGCAGCAGUGCUUCAGCCAUCUUCAAAGGGUCUAACCCUAUGGAAUCUUUUAGGCUGAGUAAACUGACACGUUUUUUUGAUUUGGUGAUUUGGCAAAGCAGCCACGGACCCUCUUAAAAAUCUUGGGAACUGUGUUUGGAAGCUGCUUUGUCGGGCUCUUUGUCUAAAGCAUCUAUCUGGCUAUUAAACUUCAGCCUCCCACAGCCCUUAAACAGAUCUGAAGUUGCUUUCGGAAUUUAGAGAAGGACGAUCCAAACUGAAAAUUUUACUUGUCACAUUUAAUUGUAAUUAAUGUUUAUUGUUCAUAGUACAAUAUGUGACCACUUCAGUUACAAAUACUUGUGAACAGGCCAUCACAUGGAUGACUUAUAGCACAGUGUUUAGUUCAGAAGCGUAAAUAUUCUGAGAAAAAAAAAAAAGUAGUUAGGCCAUUUAUUAGUCUCUAGGUAAAAAAAAAACAUCAUGCUGAAAGAGUUAGUGGGUAAUCUUGAAUCGUUUUAUAAAAGGGAAUGGAUAAUAGCAGGUUUAAACUUAAAAUGUUGAUUGAGAGCACAGAGUCGGGGGAGGAUUCUUGAGAGGCAGGGUCCUGGGGAAAUACUCCGGGCAGCACAGGGACCCCUAACUCUCUCUUCCUCACAGCCAUGAGAGAGGGAGCAUACAAGGAGGGAAUUCUCUUUAGACUAAGAAAAUACAUGGACUUCUAUUUCUAGAGUUAAACAGGCAACAAGUAAGGUAAAGUGCUUGCCAACGCAAUGAAAAUAUGCAGAUAAUUAAAGGCUCUUGGUAACAGAGCAGUGUCUUUCAUGCUGAGCGUGGUAGCACCAAGGGACUCACCAAACUGCAAACUCUGGCUGGAGUUGACAUCAAAAUCCUGUUUUGAACAUAAAAGCAGGUGCAACACAAGUUGAAAACAGCUUUUAUUUAGAUAAAUACAAAAACGGAAUGAACAGAGUUAGAUACAUAACCAUCACUGUCUCCGAGGCACUGCUGUGGUGCGCUGGCAAGCAGAGGGCUUUGGGAGGACCUGCAUGCUCCCUGCUGCCCCGUUCCAUUACUUAGCUAAGGAGUUCUGGACUCGAAGCAGAGAAUAUGUUCAUGGUUUCCUAGGUGAUUUUAAAUAGCACUUAGACUGUGCUUUUCAGUUACAUUAAUGUGACUAUGUGUUCAUUUUUAAGAUAGCAGGUUGAGAACAUGCUUUAGGUUCCCACUCUGUAUUAUUCAGGGACUAGAAAAAAAACAAACGUAAUCCAUUCUAGGUAUUUAAAUGAAAGGAAUUUAAUACAGGAGAUUGGUUACCACAUGAUGGAAAUGUGGAAAAGGGAAACAGGAAACAGAGAGAAAUAAAAGAUAUUAAAAAACAGGAAGCUACUGUCUCUAAGCUUUGGUAACAAGCUCAGAAGGUAGGGCCACUCAGCUGUGGGUCGAGCCUUGGCCUGGGAUCCUAAGAAGCCAUUGCCAGAGAUGCCAAGAAAAACAGAGAGAAGGGGGAGAAACACCAUGGCUUUCCCCUCCUCCAAUUUUCCAAUGUUUCUCCAGCGUCUCUCAUUAGCGAACAGACCCAGAAGAAGACAGAGGGGCCUAGGCACUGUCAGUCCCUGCAAUAUGAAGCCGAGAGGUAAAAAAAGAGCAACUGACACUCAACCUACCUUCACUGGACCUCCAAAGCUACAUGUACAACAUGCAUAAAUAUAUAACUACUCUUGAACUCAGAAGACCAGAAUCGCGGAUGAAUCCAUGAAUGUUGGAAAAUAGAUGGAAUCCAAUUGAAUAGAGAACUUAUGGGUCAGGAUGUGUGCAGGGGAGAACCAAUGGUGAGUUGCAGACACAGUGGAGAAAGUACUUAGGGCCUGGGCAUUGGGUAGGGUCAUUAUUUGAAGUUCAGUAGUAAGGAGUAAGAAUGCAUGUUGCAUUCUGUCCUUACCUUGGAUCACAAAACCUAAGCAGCAAGUCUGCGUCCAAUUGCAAACAACGAAAGUGGGCACCCUAAUGAAAAGGGAUCACCCAAAAUCAUGAAAACAGCCACUUUCCGGUGACAUCUCUUGCCACGCAUGCUUUUUUGCUAAAAACAGUGUGGUGUGCAAGCUGCAGCAGCAAUUCCCACUCUCUUCCAAAGUAACUAUACAAAUAGAUGCCCCAUGACGAUCUAAUAAGGACUUUCAGUAGUAAAGAUGAGUGCACAAUCUAAAAGAUCAUACGCUUAAGGAAAGCCAACAUCAUAAAGGGAAGCAGUAUAUUCAAUACCAAAUGACACUGAGUUAGCAGAGAAGCCAAGAAAGAAUUCUAAAAUAUAUAACAUUAAUAUUAUGAAUAAGGAAGGCUAUUAUGUCCACAAAAUUAGUAUAGGUAGCUUUGGAACAACCAGAGAGAUAAAUCCAAUGUAUCAUUACUUAUAAUGAAUAUUAAGGAGGGAGAAUGGAAAAGAGGUUCACUUUGGCUAGGAUGUAAAUUUAGUUCACAAUUUUCAGUAACUACUCUUUUAUUAAAACCAAAAAUUUUAAGUUUAAAUCUUGGCUUUUCUUUCAUGAGACAAACUAAAAGCAUUUCUAUAGUUAGCUACGGGAACCAGGUUGAGUAGCCCAAAAGGAAAUAUAACUCCCGCAAUUUUGGUUCAAGCAAUCUAUAUAUAUAAAAGCCUAAGCGACCAUUAGGACUGGGCGACCAGAUGACCAGCCGGUAGCUAUG